CAGUCGCCGCGGUAAUCCGUAGGGUGCAAGCGUUAAUCGGAAUUACUGGGCGUAAAGCGUGCGCAGGCGGUUCGUUAAGACAGAUGUGAAAUCCCCGGGCUUAACCUGGGAACUGCAUUUGUGACUGGCGGGCUAGAGUAUGGCAGAGGGGGGUAGAAUUCCACGUGUAGCAGUGAAAUGCGUAGAGAUGUGGAGGAAUACCGAUGGCGAAGGCAGCCCCCUGGGCCAAUACUGACGCUCAUACACGAAAGCGUGGGGAGCAAACAGGAUUAGAUACCCCCGUAGUCCCUGUCUCUUAUAC
Molecule: ribosomal RNA, 301 nt
Filed under: uncultured bacterium
Lineage: Bacteria
Description: partial 16S ribosomal RNA
Rfam family: Bacterial small subunit ribosomal RNA
Source: RNAcentral